Molecule: long non-coding RNA, 699 nt
Filed under: Mytilus galloprovincialis (Mediterranean mussel)
Lineage: Eukaryota; Metazoa; Mollusca; Bivalvia; Mytilida; Mytilidae
Source: RNAcentral
GUGAACCGUUUGCCCAGGGAAUGAGAGGAUAUUAACAGAACACAUAGUGGUGUGUAUACUUUAUAUCCCGAUUCAUAUACUCCUGUAAGAACAUUUUAUAUAAUGACAAAAACCGAGAAGUGGACAGUAAGUUUGUCAAUUCAUUUUUACUAUGAAUAUGCUCAACAAACUGUUAAUAUAUCCGAUUCGACUAAAACAUAACUUUGUAAUAAAAAACCGUUAUUGGUUGGUAUGAAAUAAGAGUAGAAAUGUCCAUGAGCAUUAGUAGAUUAUAAUUCCACUGUCAAUUCACGUUAUUUUAAAGAGGAAUUUGUUCAAAGAUAUAUAAAUGAAGACCAAAAUACAUUUAUUACAAGACUAUGCAUAUAACCUUUUACAGAAUAUAUACAUAUACUCUAUCUUUGAUUGUUGCUUCUUACGGGAAAUAGAAAAAAGUAGCCCAGGAUCUUUAAUGCUUUUAGAUCAACAACAUAAGACAAUAUUGAGGCAACAAGAUCAAUGAUUGAGAAAAAAAAAUAUCAGAAAAUUGAAAAAAAAUAUAUUUGUAUUCAUAAAAUCUAUAUAUAAACACUUGAAAGCUUAUUUGAGCUUCCGGAUCAAGGUUAUACAGAAAAGAUUGAAUGGUUUUGUGGAUUUCUAUAGAAGUUGGGAUGCUUACAAGCAAGGCUUUGGUGACCCUGCAGGCGAAUAUUGGCUGGG